AAUGAUAUGUGUUAGUUUGAUUUAUUAGUGGAUAAUGAUGUGAACACUUUGCAUGGCGGGGUAAUGUAUUAGUGGAUGUUGAUGUGGACGCUUUGCAUGGCAAGAGAAUUAGUUAAUGGGAUGCUCUAGUGGAUGAUGAUGUGGAUGCUUUGUAUGUUAAGAGAAUUAGCUAGUGGGGUUUAUCUAUAUAAGAGAUAUAGAUACCAUAAGAUACUGGAUUUUCUGGUUCGUAAAAAUCUCGCAGACCAAGCUUAUCUAUGUCUUCUAAUCAUUAUCAUUAGUAAAUAAAUUAAGAAUUAUUAGUAUAUUAUAUUAUUACUUAGUAGUUA
Molecule: long non-coding RNA, 329 nt
Filed under: Sorghum bicolor (sorghum)
Lineage: Eukaryota; Viridiplantae; Streptophyta; Magnoliopsida; Poales; Poaceae
Description: long non-coding RNA (SBIC_LNC001980)
Source: RNAcentral